RNAcentral lists this ribosomal RNA (1158 nucleotides) under Staphylococcus aureus. RNAcentral's name for it is "bacterial SSU rRNA". It matches the Rfam family "Bacterial small subunit ribosomal RNA", at positions 92 to 1236 of the family's 1533-position model. The record is from RNAcentral. Lineage: Bacteria; Bacillati; Bacillota; Bacilli; Caryophanales; Staphylococcaceae.
UUAGCGGCGGACGGGUGAGUAACACGUGGAUAACCUACCUAUAAGACUGGGAUAACUUCGGGAAACCGGAGCUAAUACCGGAUAAUAUUUUGAACCGCAUGGUUCAAAAGUGAAAGACGGUCUUGCUGUCACUUAUAGAUGGAUCCGCGCUGCAUUAGCUAGUUGGUAAGGUAACGGCUUACCAAGGCAACGAUGCAUAGCCGACCUGAGAGGGUGAUCGGCCACACUGGAACUGAGACACGGUCCAGACUCCUACGGGAGGCAGCAGUAGGGAAUCUUCCGCAAUGGGCGAAAGCCUGACGGAGCAACGCCGCGUGAGUGAUGAAGGUCUUCGGAUCGUAAAACUCUGUUAUUAGGGAAGAACAUAUGUGUAAGUAACUGUGCACAUCUUGACGGUACCUAAUCAGAAAGCCACGGCUAACUACGUGCCAGCAGCCGCGGUAAUACGUAGGUGGCAAGCGUUAUCCGGAAUUAUUGGGCGUAAAGCGCGCGUAGGCGGUUUUUUAAGUCUGAUGUGAAAGCCCACGGCUCAACCGUGGAGGGUCAUUGGAAACUGGAAAACUUGAGUGCAGAAGAGGAAAGUGGAAUUCCAUGUGUAGCGGUGAAAUGCGCAGAGAUAUGGAGGAACACCAGUGGCGAAGGCGACUUUCUGGUCUGUAACUGACGCUGAUGUGCGAAAGCGUGGGGAUCAAACAGGAUUAGAUACCCUGGUAGUCCACGCCGUAAACGAUGAGUGCUAAGUGUUAGGGGGUUUCCGCCCCUUAGUGCUGCAGCUAACGCAUUAAGCACUCCGCCUGGGGAGUACGACCGCAAGGUUGAAACUCAAAGGAAUUGACGGGGACCCGCACAAGCGGUGGAGCAUGUGGUUUAAUUCGAAGCAACGCGAAGAACCUUACCAAAUCUUGACAUCCUUUGACAACUCUAGAGAUAGAGCCUUCCCCUUCGGGGGACAAAGUGACAGGUGGUGCAUGGUUGUCGUCAGCUCGUGUCGUGAGAUGUUGGGUUAAGUCCCGCAACGAGCGCAACCCUUAAGCUUAGUUGCCAUCAUUAAGUUGGGCACUCUAAGUUGACUGCCGGUGACAAACCGGAGGAAGGUGGGGAUGACGUCAAAUCAUCAUGCCCCUUAUGAUUUGGGCUACACACGUGCUACAAUGGACA